Molecule: ribosomal RNA, 338 nt
Filed under: uncultured Bacillota bacterium
Lineage: Bacteria; Bacillati; Bacillota
Description: bacterial SSU rRNA
Rfam family: Bacterial small subunit ribosomal RNA
Source: RNAcentral
GACGAACGCUGGCGGCGUGCCUAACACAUGCAAGUCGAACGGAGUAUUCAGCAAUGGAUACUUAGUGGCGAACGGGUGAGUAACGCGUAGACAACCUGCCUCUAAACUGGGGACAACACUGCGAAAGUGGUGCUAAUACCGAAUGUGGUAUCUUUGCUGCAUGGUGAAGAUAAGAAAGAUGGCCAAUCUAUAGAAGCUAUCGUUUAGAGAUGGGUCUGCGUCUGAUUAGCUAGUUGGUGAGGUAAAGGCUCACCAAGGCGACGAUCAGUAGCCGGUCUGAGAGGAUGGAACGGCCACACUGGGGACUGAGACACGGCCCAGACUCCUACGGGAGGCAG